This 247-nucleotide ribosomal RNA is filed under the name uncultured bacterium. Its description in RNAcentral is "partial small subunit ribosomal RNA". It matches the Rfam family "Bacterial small subunit ribosomal RNA", at positions 26 to 288 of the family's 1533-position model. The record is from RNAcentral.
AGGACGAACGCUGGCGGCGUGCCUAACACAUGCAAGUCGAACGAGAAAGUGGAGCAAUCCAUGAGUAAAGUGGCGCACGGGUGAGUAACACGUGACUAACCUACCCUUGAGUGGGGAAUAACCUCGGGAAACCGGGGCUAAUACCGCAUAACACCUACGGGUCAAAGGAGCAAUUCGCUUAAGGAGGGGUCGCGGCAGAUUAGUUAGUUGGCGGGGUAAUGGCCCACCAAGACGGUGAUCUGUAUCC